This is a long non-coding RNA of Wyeomyia smithii (pitcher-plant mosquito), 1053 nucleotides long. RefSeq lists it as uncharacterized. The record is from RefSeq and is a predicted model, not a curated record. The transcript has 4 exons. Lineage: Eukaryota; Metazoa; Arthropoda; Insecta; Diptera; Culicidae.
UAUCUAGACAAAAGAAAUCUCUAUCAUGACUGCUACCUUGGUAGGUUGAUAAGAAAUCACUCCAGCAAUGGUCAGUGCUUGAUACUUAUAUAUAUUUAUAAAGUAUACUUGAAACCGUGAGGUCUGGUAUCGAUACAAUGACAAUCGAGAAAGUAUCGAUACUCAGUAUCACCCAAUCAAUCAUGUAACACUUUGUUUUGUUUUGAUAUUCAACCUAAUUUUCAACUAAAGCUGCUCAAAAAUAUAUACUUAAUGUUGCAAAUGAAAAACAAAACAAACAAUGAACCCAAAAAAAGUGCCACUGCGCUACUGGAGUUUCAAUUUGAUAGAGCGAAAUAAGAAAUUGGACAAUGAAUGAUUAUCACAGAAGUCCAAAUAGUCAUGCAAGGGGCAAUAUGGAUCUUCUGAAAAUUGCGCAAAAACUUGUUGCUGCUCUUCAUUUCAAAUCUUCUGGCAUCCCUGAUCAUUGUUAUGUCGCUGUCAUGUCAGCAUCCAUCAUUCAGUCUUCAGUUUUUUUAAUUUAUUCCGCGGCUUUAGUCUCCAGUGUUAUUGUGUUGCUUGUCUCUGUUUAUCGGUUUUGAUCGUUUUGAUUGAGUGUUCACGAGUGAGGAAAUUACUUCUGCGUGGUACAAACCGUCGAAGCUAGCGGUCACUGUGGUUCCGUAGAAUUCAGGAAAGGCAGCUAACUCAAUUUAAGAAUUUGGCUUUUAUCAUUUGCUAGAACAUAACGGAACUUCAAUGAAAUUUACACCAAAGGAAGAUGGUGCAUUUGACCGCGAUGAGUAGUUGCUGGAGGAGUGAUUACUGAUGAUGCGGGAGGAGAGGAUGGAACAAUGUAGCUACAACAAAACGACAACAUAGAAAAAGAAAGGUGUAAAAGAUUGUGUAUUAGGCCACUUUCUGCAUAGUUUUAAGUUAUAUAUAUUGUUCAUUCAAUAGCAAGCUUAAUCAGUAAUCUGUAAAUCUGUAUUAGGACAUAAAAAAAGAUUCAACAUCAUGUAUUCCUACUGAAUGUACGAAAAUAGAAUGAUUUUUAUUUAAUAAAAGGCACUU